RNAcentral lists this ribosomal RNA (2287 nucleotides) under Streptococcus agalactiae MC624. RNAcentral describes it as "bacterial LSU rRNA". It matches the Rfam family "Bacterial large subunit ribosomal RNA", at positions 284 to 2586 of the family's 2925-position model. Lineage: Bacteria; Bacillati; Bacillota; Bacilli; Lactobacillales; Streptococcaceae. The record is from RNAcentral.
UUUACACUUCGGGGUUGUAGGACUGCGAUAUAGGAUUAAUCAUUAUAGAAGAAUUACCUGGGAAGGUAAGCCAAAGAGAGUAACAGCCUCGUAUUUAAAAUGAUAGAUUAACCUUAGCAGUAUCCUGAGUACGGCGAGACACGCGAAAUCUCGUCGGAAUCUGGGAGGACCAUCUCCCAACCCUAAAUACUCUCUAGUGACCGAUAGUGAACCAGUACCGUGAGGGAAAGGUGAAAAGCACCCCGGGAGGGGAGUGAAAUAGAACCUGAAACCGUGUGCCUACAACAAGUUCGAGCCCGUUAAUGGGUGAGAGCGUGCCUUUUGUAGAAUGAACCGGCGAGUUACGAUAUGAUGCGAGGUUAAGUUGAAGAGACGGAGCCGUAGGGAAACCGAGUCUUAAUAGGGCGUCAUAGUAUCAUGUUGUAGACCCGAAACCAUGUGACCUACCCAUGAGCAGGUUGAAGGUGAGGUAAAACUCACUGGAGGACCGAACCAGGGCACGUUGAAAAGUGCUUGGAUGACUUGUGGGUAGCGGAGAAAUUCCAAACGAACUUGGAGAUAGCUGGUUCUCUCCGAAAUAGCUUUAGGGCUAGCGUCGAUGUUAAGUCUCUUGGAGGUAGAGCACUGUUUGGGUGAGGGGUCCAUCCCGGAUUACCAAUCUCAGAUAAACUCCGAAUGCCAACGAGAUAUAAUCGGCAGUCAGACUGCGAGUGCUAAGAUCCGUAGUCGAAAGGGAAACAGCCCAGACCACCAGCUAAGGUCCCAAAAUAUAUGUUAAGUGGAAAAGGAUGUGGGGUUGCACAGACAACUAGGAUGUUAGCUUAGAAGCAGCUAUUCAUUCAAAGAGUGCGUAAUAGCUCACUAGUCGAGUGACCCUGCGCCGAAAAUGUACCGGGGCUAAAACAUAUUACCGAAGCUGUGGAUGACACAAAAGUGUCAUGGUAGGAGAGCGUUCUAUGUGUGAAGAAGGUGUACCGUGAGGAGCGCUGGAACGCAUAGAAGUGAGAAUGCCGGUAUGAGUAGCGCAAGACAGGUGAGAAUCCUGUCCACCGUAAGACUAAGGUUUCCAGGGGAAGGCUCGUCCGCCCUGGGUUAGUCGGGACCUAAGGAGAGACCGAAAGGUGUAUCCGAUGGACAACAGGUUGAUAUUCCUGUACUAGAGUAUAUAGUGAUGGAGGGACGCAGUAGGCUAACUAAACCAGACGAUUGGAAGUGUCUGGUCAAACAGUGAGGUGUGAUAUGAGUCAAAUGCUUAUAUCUUUAACAUUGAGCUGUGACGAGGAGCGAAGUUUAGUAGCGAAGUUAGUGAUGUCACACUGCCAAGAAAAGCUUCUAGCGAUACAUAUACUCUACCCGUACCGCAAACCGACACAGGUAGUCGAGGCGAGUAGCCUCAGGUGAGCGAGAGAACUCUCGUUAAGGAACUCGGCAAAAUGGCCCCGUAACUUCGGGAGAAGGGGCGCUGAUUUUAGAUCAGCCGCAGUGAAUAGGCCCAAGCAACUGUUUAUCAAAAACACAGCUCUCUGCUAAAUCGUAAGAUGAUGUAUAGGGGGUGACGCCUGCCCGGUGCUGGAAGGUUAAGAGGAGUGCUUAGCGUAAGCGAAGGUAUGAAUUGAAGCCCCAGUAAACGGCGGCCGUAACUAUAACGGUCCUAAGGUAGCGAAAUUCCUUGUCGGGUAAGUUCCGACCCGCACGAAAGGCGUAAUGAUUUGGGCACUGUCUCAACGAGAGACUCGGUGAAAUUUUAGUACCUGUGAAGAUGCAGGUUACCCGCGACAGGACGGAAAGACCCCAUGGAGCUUUACUGCAGUUUGAUAUUGAGUAUCUGUACCACAUGUACAGGAUAGGUAGGAGCCUAUGAUAACGGGACGCCAGUUUCGUUUGAGGCGUUGUUGGGAUACUACCCUUGUGUUAUGGCUACUCUAACCCAGAUAGGCAAUCCCUAUCGGAGACAGUGUCUGACGGGCAGUUUGACUGGGGCGGUCGCCUCCUAAAAGGUAACGGAGGCGCCCAAAGGUUCCCUCAGACUGGUUGGAAAUCAGUCGUAGAGUGUAAAGGUAUAAGGGAGCUUGACUGCGAGAGCUACAACUCGAGCAGGGACGAAAGUCGGGCUUAGUGAUCCGGUGGUUCCGUAUGGAAGGGCCAUCGCUCAACGGAUAAAAGCUACCCUGGGGAUAACAGGCUUAUCUCCCCCAAGAGUUCACAUCGACGGGGAGGUUUGGCACCUCGAUGUCGGCUCGUCGCAUCCUGGGGCUGUAGUCGGUCCCAAGGGUUGGGCUGUUCGCCC